CGCGUAGGUGGUCUUAUAAGGGUGUGGUGAAAGCCCGGGGCUCAACCCCGGGUCGGCCGUGCCGACUGUAAGACUGGAGUGCUGUAGGGGCAGGCGGAAUUCCGGGUGUAGCGGUGGAAUGCGUAGAGAUCCGGAGGAAGACCGGUGGCGAAGGCGGCCUGCUGGGCAGUUACUGACACUGAGGCGCGACAGCGUGGGGAAGCAAACA
This 208-nucleotide ribosomal RNA is filed under the name uncultured bacterium. RNAcentral's name for it is "partial 16S ribosomal RNA". It matches the Rfam family "Bacterial small subunit ribosomal RNA", at positions 568 to 774 of the family's 1533-position model. The record is from RNAcentral.